This is an RNA transcript of Tribolium castaneum (red flour beetle), 671 nucleotides long. RefSeq lists it as uncharacterized. Lineage: Eukaryota; Metazoa; Arthropoda; Insecta; Coleoptera; Tenebrionidae. The record is from RefSeq and is a predicted model, not a curated record. The transcript is spliced from 3 exons.
AGGCAACAUAUCCGUAUUAUAACCACAAAUAAACAUUCGAGAAUAAACAAAAACUGAUAUAAAAGAAGUGGAGAUGUGAAGCUUGAAACAUUCUACCAAGAUGGCAAAAUACAUGUUAGCUUUUGUGCUUCUCCAACUUGUUCUAAUUAAAGAUAUUCUUUGUUGCAGCUGCGGUUGUGGUAAAUCUGAUAAUCCUCCGAGUGAUUUUAGCUCGGAUUUUGCUCCUCCUCUUGCUCCACUUCCUCCUCUUCCUAGUUAUGACCCAGCUCCCUCCAAAUUGUACAAUGACGAUUUCAUCCCUUCCGUAAGAAUCCAGAAACCGAUAUGUUAUUCUCCUCCACCUCCUCCACUUCCAGCACCGAUUCCACCGCCAUCAGUUUGCAAGGAAUUGGGCUUUUUAUCACCUUCAUUCUUUGCACCCCCAACACCUUCAUGUCAUUGUGGUGGAGGCGCAUUAUUGCCUGUUUUAAGGAGAAAAGUUAGACCACCACCCUGUCUGCCUAAACCAAGUUGCCUUAGCCAAAAAUUAGCCUCAUUGAUGAAUAUGCGUAACUGCGGUGGUCUAGGACUGGGAUUCAAUUUAACUCCUUUGACCCCUGUACGAAAUUAUGGGUGCGGUUGCAAUCGCUGAUGUUAUUGUAAAUCAAUAGUUAAUAAAAUUUUAUUUUGUA